GUCCACGCCGUAAACGAUGAGAACUAGCUGUUGGAUAUAUUAAAAUAUCAAGUAGCGAAGCUAACGCGAUAAGUUCUCCGCCUGGGGAGUACGGCCGCAAGGCUAAAACUCAAAGGAAUUGACGGGGGCCCGCACAAGCGGUGGAGCAUGUGGUUUAAUUCGAUGCAACGCGAAAAACCUUACCUACCCUUGACAUCCUUGGAAUCUUAGAGAGAUCUAGGAGUGCUUCGGAACCAAGAGACAGGUGCUGCAUGGCUGUCGU
This 262-nucleotide ribosomal RNA is filed under the name uncultured bacterium. RNAcentral's name for it is "partial 16S ribosomal RNA". It matches the Rfam family "Bacterial small subunit ribosomal RNA", at positions 793 to 1055 of the family's 1533-position model. The record is from RNAcentral.